Molecule: ribosomal RNA, 645 nt
Filed under: sulfate-reducing bacterium enrichment culture clone 1-0-H2
Lineage: Bacteria
Description: bacterial SSU rRNA
Rfam family: Bacterial small subunit ribosomal RNA
Source: RNAcentral
UGAAUUAGCGGCGGACGGGUGAGUAACACGUGGGUAACCUGCCUUAUAGAGGGGGAUAGCCUUCCGAAAGGAAGAUUAAUACCGCAUAACAUAUUUUUAUCACAUGGUAGAGAUAUCAAAGGAGUAAUCCGCUAUAAGAUGGACCCGCGGCGCAUUAGCUAGUUGGUGAGGUAACGGCUCACCAAGGCGACGAUGCGUAGCCGACCUGAGAGGGUGAUCGGCCACAUUGGAACUGAGACACGGUCCAGACUCCUACGGGAGGCAGCGGUGGGGAAUAUUGCGCAAUGGGGGAAACCCUGACGCAGCAACGCCGCGUGAAUGAAGAAGGCCUUAGGGUUGUAAAGUUCUGUUUACAGGGACGAUAAUGACGGUACCUGUGGAGGAAGCCACGGCUAACUACGUGCCAGCAGCCGCGGUAAUACGUAGGUGGCAAGCGUUGUCCGGAUUUACUGGGCGUAAAGGAUGCGUAGGCGGAUGUUUAAGUGAGAUGUGAAAUACCCGAGCUCAACUUGGGUGCUGCAUUUCAAACUGGAUAUCUAGAGUGCAGGAGAGGAAAGCGGAAUUCCUAGUGUAGCGGUGAAAUGCGUAGAGAUUAGGAAGAACACCAGUGGCGAAGGCGGCUUUCUGGACUGUAACUGACGCUGA